AUAAACUUCUCAAGAGCUGUCAGAGAAUGAGAAUUUAAGGCUAAAACAUAAUAAGAAUUUGAAUCAAUUUCCAUAUACAGAAGACUUACGGUGUUAAGAUGAUACCGAUCUUGUGAAUUUUUCCCAAGUCUCCGUAAACUAAUCUCAAAUUAGUCAGUCUAUAGCCUACAACUUUCAAGAAGAUGCAUUUUUUUUUAUUUUUUUAUGACUGAAAACAAACAAAACACUAACAAAAAACAAAGAAAACAAAACAAAUAAUUAAACAAAACACUAACAAAAAACAAAGAAAACAAAACAAAUAAAUGGUUCC
This 310-nucleotide long non-coding RNA is filed under the name Lathyrus oleraceus (garden pea). Its description in RNAcentral is "Pisum sativum (pea) long non-coding RNA (PSAT_LNC025102)". The record is from RNAcentral. Lineage: Eukaryota; Viridiplantae; Streptophyta; Magnoliopsida; Fabales; Fabaceae.